CAAGAGAUUUCACAUACAGGUAUUCCGAUAUAUCUAUCGGGAUAAAAAGGAAAUCCCAACUUCAACGAAUUUCUGAUGGUAAUGAAUGCGUUAUUCCUUACCGUCAGAAAUGAGAAGGAAAGGGAACGGUACCGCCGCUGUAUCCGGUGACGAACGUUGCAAGAGCCACUGGAAAGCCGUUUCAACGGUUUAAACUGAUUGAACGGUUUUCCGGGAAGGUGCAACCAGUAGGGUGAUCCGCAAGUCAGAAGACCUGCCUGUAAUGUAUGCUGAAA
This 275-nucleotide non-coding RNA is filed under the name Candidatus Brocadia. The record is from RNAcentral. RNAcentral also lists the same sequence under 1 other name. Lineage: Bacteria; Pseudomonadati; Planctomycetota; Candidatus Brocadiia; Candidatus Brocadiales; Candidatus Brocadiaceae.